RNAcentral lists this non-coding RNA (192 nucleotides) under Fictibacillus macauensis. RNAcentral describes it as "Lysine sequence". It matches the Rfam family "Lysine riboswitch aptamer". Rfam says of the family: Riboswitches are metabolite binding domains within certain messenger RNAs that serve as precision sensors for their corresponding targets. Lineage: Bacteria; Bacillati; Bacillota; Bacilli; Caryophanales; Fictibacillaceae. The record is from RNAcentral. RNAcentral also lists the same sequence under 1 other name.
CGAUGAGGUAGAGGUCGCAACUUUUAAGAGUAGAACAGACGAGAUGCAGAGAACAUCAAAGACUCAGCUUGAAAGGAAAAGUUGCCGAAGUUUGUGUUUUACUCUGAAAGCAUAAGCUGGGACUGUAUCCGAAUAGGAACAGAACUGUCACGCAUAGCAGGAUACUGGUAUGCGAGUUGUGCUAUCUUACGG